CCCUUAGAUGUUCUGGGCCGCACGCGCGCUACACUGACGAAGUCAGCGAGCAUGUCCUACGCCGACAGGUGCGGGGAAUCUUGUCAAACUUCGUCGUGAUGGGGAUUGAUUUUUGAAAUUCUUGAUCAUAAACGAGGAAUUCCUAGUAAGCGCAAGUCAGCAGCUUGCGUUGAUUACGUCCCUGCCCUUUGUACACACCGCCCGUCGCUACUACCGAUUGAAUGGUUUAGUGAGAUCUUCGGAUUGGCGCCACUGCAGCUCAGCAAUGGGCUUGGUGGAUGCCGAAAAGUUGAUCAAACUUGAUCAUUUAGAGGAAGUAAAAGGCGUAACA
Molecule: ribosomal RNA, 331 nt
Filed under: uncultured eukaryote
Lineage: Eukaryota
Description: partial 18S ribosomal RNA
Rfam family: Eukaryotic small subunit ribosomal RNA
Source: RNAcentral